This 439-nucleotide ribosomal RNA is filed under the name uncultured bacterium. RNAcentral describes it as "bacterial SSU rRNA". It matches the Rfam family "Bacterial small subunit ribosomal RNA", at positions 340 to 773 of the family's 1533-position model. The record is from RNAcentral.
UACGGAAGGCAGCAGUGGGGAAUAUUGCACAAUGGGCGCAAGUCUGAUGCAGCCAUGCCGCGUGUAUGAAGAAGGCCUUCGGGUUGUAAAGUACUUUCAGUCGUGAGGAAGGUGUUAAGGUUAAUAACCUUAGCAAUUGACGUUAGCGACAGAAGAAGCACCGGCUAACUCCGUGCCAGCAGCCGCGGUAAUACGGAGGGUGCGAGCGUUAAUCGGAAUUACUGGGCGUAAAGGGCACGCAGGCGGUUAAUUAAGUUGGAUGUGAAAUCCCCGGGCUUAACCUGGGAAUGGCAUUCAAGACUGGUUAGCUAGAGUCUUGUAGAGGGGGUAGAAUUCCAUGUGUAGCGGUGAAAUGCGUAGAGAUGUGGAGGAAUACCGGUGGCGAAGGCGGCCCCUGGACAAAGGCUGACGCUCAUGUGCGAAAGCGUGGGGAGCAAAC